RNAcentral lists this ribosomal RNA (339 nucleotides) under Halobacteriales archaeon. RNAcentral's name for it is "bacterial SSU rRNA". It matches the Rfam family "Archaeal small subunit ribosomal RNA", at positions 1 to 338 of the family's 1478-position model. The record is from RNAcentral. Lineage: Archaea; Methanobacteriati; Methanobacteriota; Halobacteria; Halobacteriales.
GGAAUUCUGGUUGAUCCUGCCAGAGGUCAUUGCUAUCGGGGUCCGAUUUAGCCAUGCUAGUUGCACGGGUUAAGACCCGUAGCGAACAGCUCAGUAACACGUAGAUAAACUACCCUAUGGACUGUGAUAACCUCGGAAAACUGAGGGUAAUAACAGAUAGUACUCCUAUGCUGGAAUGCAGUGAGUACGAAAUGCUCCGGCGCCAUAGGAUGUGACUGCGGCCGAUUAGGUAGACGGUGGGGUAACGGCCCACCGUGCCGAUAAUCGGUACGGGUGGUGAGAGCCAGAGCCCGGAGAUGGAAUCUGAGACAAGAUUCCAGGCCCUACGGGGCGCAGCAG